ACAACAGUUGGAAACGACUGCUAAUACCGCAUAAUGUAUCCGGGAGGCAUCUCCUGGAUACCAAAGGAGAAAUCCGCUGAUGGAUGGGCUCACGUCUGAUUAGCUAGUUGGUGAGGUAACGGCUCACCAAGGCUGCGAUCAGUAGCCGGACUGAGAGGUUGAACGGCCACAUUGGGACUGAGAUACGGCCCAGACUCCUACGGGAGGCAGCAGUGGGGAAUAUUGGGCAAUGGGCGAAAGCCUGACCCAGCAACGCCGCGUGAAGGAAGAAGGCCUUCGGGUUGUAAACUUCUUUUAAGAGGGACGAAGAAGUGACGGUACCUCUUGAAUAAGCCACGGCUAACUACGUGCCAGCAGCCGCGGUAAUACGUAGGUGGCGAGCGUUAUCCGGAUUUACUGGGUGUAAAGGGCGCGUAGGCGGGAAUGCAAGUCAGAUGUGAAAUCCAAGGGCUCAACCCUUGAACUGCAUUUGAAACUGUAUUUCUUGAGUGUCGGAGAGGUUGACGGAAUUCCUAGUGUAGCGGUGAAAUGCGUAGAUAUUAGGAGGAACACCAGUGGCGAAGGCGGUCAACUGGACGAUAACUGACGCUGAGGCGCGAAAGCGUGGGGAGCAAACAGGAUUAGAUACCCUGGUAGUCCACGCCGUAAAC
This 650-nucleotide ribosomal RNA is filed under the name uncultured bacterium. RNAcentral's name for it is "bacterial SSU rRNA". It matches the Rfam family "Bacterial small subunit ribosomal RNA", at positions 143 to 807 of the family's 1533-position model. The record is from RNAcentral.